GACGAACGCUGGCGGCGCGCUUAACACAUGCAAGUCGAGCGAUGAAAUCUUGACAGAACCCUUCGGGGCGAAGAUAAGAUGGAUUAGCGGCGGACGGGUGAGUAACACGUGAGUAACCUGCCUUAGACAUUGGGAUAGCCUCGGGAAACCGGGAUUAAUACCAAAUGAAAUCACAUAUGCACAUGCAUAAAUGAUCAAAGCUCCGGCGGUCUAAGAUGGACUCGCGUCCCAUUAGCUAGUUGGUGAGGUAACGGCCCACCAAGGCGACGAUGGGUAGCCGGCCUGAGAGGGUGAACGGCCACAUUGGAACUGAGAAACGGUCCAAACUCCUACGGGAGGCAGCAGUGGGGAAUAUUGCACAAUGGAGGGAACUCUGAUGCAGCGACGCCGCGUGAACGAAGAAGGCUUUCGAGUCGUAAAGUUCUUUUAUAUGGGAAGAUAAUGACGGUACCAUAAGAAAAAGCCCCGGCUAACUACGUGCCAGCAGCCGCGGUAAUACGUAGGGGGCUAGCGUUGUCCGGAAUCACUGGGCGUAAAGGGUUCGCAGGCGGAAAUGCAAGUCAGGUGUAAAAGGCAGUAGCUUAACUACUGUAAGCAUUUGAAACUGCAUAUCUUGAGAAGAGUAGAGGUAAGUGGAAUUUUUAGUGUAGCGGUGAAAUGCGUAGAUAUUAAAAAGAAUACCGGUGGCGAAGGCGACUUACUGGGCUCAUUCUGACGCUGAGGAACGAAAGCGUGGGUAGCAAACAGG
Molecule: ribosomal RNA, 748 nt
Filed under: uncultured Peptoniphilus sp.
Lineage: Bacteria; Bacillati; Bacillota; Tissierellia; Tissierellales; Peptoniphilaceae
Description: bacterial SSU rRNA
Rfam family: Bacterial small subunit ribosomal RNA
Source: RNAcentral